ACGCUCACUUGGGCAGCACAGAUACUAAAAUUGGAAAGACAGAGAGAAGACUGGCCUGGCCCCUGUGCAAGGAUGACACCCAAAUUGGUGAAGCAUUACGUAUUUUU
Small nuclear RNA from Equus asinus (donkey), 107 nucleotides. NCBI's taxonomy places the organism in Eukaryota, Metazoa, Chordata, Mammalia, Perissodactyla, Equidae. The record is from Ensembl.